Molecule: transfer RNA, 85 nt
Filed under: Felis catus (domestic cat)
Lineage: Eukaryota; Metazoa; Chordata; Mammalia; Carnivora; Felidae
Rfam family: tRNA
About the family: Transfer RNA (tRNA) molecules are approximately 80 nucleotides in length. Their secondary structure includes four short double-helical elements and three loops (D, anti-codon, and T loops).
Source: Rfam by way of RNAcentral
GCCUGGGUGGCUCAGUGGGUUGAGCAUCUGACUUUGACUCAGGUCAUGAUCUCACAGUUUGUGAGUUCAAGCCCCGCAUCGGGUU